GCGUCAUUUUCCCAAGAGGUUGUCAUCUCUGCUUAGCUCCUAGGUCGGCAUUGCCUCUGUCAUACAGUUCCGCAGAGGAGGUGUGUCCAGAUGAGUCCAGCCAGCACUGGUGUUUCGCUGUUGGUUUUAUGGAACUGCGCCCGUGUGACUGUGACUGACUGAUGAGGGCCUUCAGGUGUGGACCCCGGAGGGAUGCUGGGAUCCAGAAGAGUCUCCCCUUUUUCUGUUGCUCCUUUUUUGUUUUUUUGCGAGACAGCUUUCCCUGUGUAGCCCUGGCUGUCCUGGAACUUGCUUCGUAGACCAGGCUGGCCUCACACUCAAGAGAUCCGCCUGCCUCUGCUUCCCUAAUGCUGCCACUGAAAAUGUGCGUUGCCUGCCUGGCACAGCUGCUCAGUUUCACGGAGGGGCAGUCAUGCACAAGCUAACAGGUGCCAUGAAGGUUGAGGUGGCUUGAACCAGAAGCAAGCCUAGUCUUUUUUUUUUUUUUUUUUAAGAUUUAUUUAUUAUAUGUAAGGACACUGUAGCUGUCUUCAGACACUCCAGAAGAGGGCAUCAGAUUUCAUUACGGAUGGUUGUGAGCCACCAUGUGGUUGCUGGGAUUUGAACUCAGGACCUUUGGAAGGGUAGUCGGUGCUCUUAACCGCUAAGCCAUCUCUCCAGCCCGCAAGCCUAUUCUUAAGAAGGUGGUGGAGCUUCACCAGAGAGUCAGUGACUCUUCUGAGUGUGAUCCGAUUUGCUGCGGGAAGAUGGCAGGCAGGGAGCCCGUGUGGAUCCUGUUUGAGGAGCAGCAAGCAAAAGCCAAAAGAAAAGAGGGUGUUUAGGGGGAGUAUUGACCAGCAGGUGAUGAACAAGGCAGUUGCUUUCUGAGCUAGGAAGUGGGGGCCUCUGUCCUCCGCAGCAUCCUGUUGCAGUGGGACAGGACACACAGCGCAGCCAGCUACAGAAGAAUCAGCGAGGCCCCGGGCUGCAGGAAAGGGCUGAAGUGUGCCAUAGAAGGGUCCUUCUUUGGAUGACGAUAUUUGUCGAAGUACAGACGAGGCCAGGCAGCAAGGAGUUCUGGGUUCGGGGUGCACAGGAUAGGCCAGAUGUUGAAAGAAGGUCUUUUUCAGAAUAGUUUGCAUAUGUAGCUGCUGGUAAUUGAAAAUGUGGGUCAUGUCGGCGAGUGUCCAGAAAAUGGAGUUCCCAUCCCUGGGAAACCUUGUGAUGAAAAGCAAGCAAA
Molecule: long non-coding RNA, 1219 nt
Organism: Mus musculus (house mouse)
Lineage: Eukaryota; Metazoa; Chordata; Mammalia; Rodentia; Muridae
Product: predicted gene, 51528
Exons: 2
Source: RefSeq, a predicted model, not a curated record